AUUGAACGCUGGCGGCAUGCCUUACACAUGCAAGUCGAACGGCAGCAUGGGUGCUUGCACCUGAUGGCGAGUGGCGAACGGGUGAGUAAUGCAUCGGAACGUACCUUUCCGUGGGGGAUAACGUAGCGAAAGUUACGCUAAUACCGCAUCUUCUGUGAGCAGGAAAGCAGGGGUGCGCAAGACCUUGCGCUGAUUGCGCGGCCGAUGUCAGAUUAGCUAGUUGGCGAGGUAAAGGCUCACCAAGGCGACGAUCUGUAGCGGGUCUGAGAGGAUGAUCCGCCACACUGGAACUGAGACACGGUCCAGACUCCUACGGGAGGCAGCAGUGGGGAAUUUUGGACAAUGGGGGCAACCCUGAUCCAGCCAUGCCGCGUGAGUGAAGAAGGCCUUCGGGUUGUAAAGCUCUUUCGGCCGGGAAGAAAUCGCACGGGCUAAUACCCUGUGUGGAUGACGGUACCGGAAUAAGAAGCACCGGCUAACUACGUGCCAGCCGCCGCAGUAA
RNAcentral lists this ribosomal RNA (502 nucleotides) under uncultured bacterium. Its description in RNAcentral is "partial 16S ribosomal RNA". It matches the Rfam family "Bacterial small subunit ribosomal RNA", at positions 30 to 523 of the family's 1533-position model. The record is from RNAcentral.